AUACAGAGGGGGCAAGCGUUGUUCGGAAUUACUGGGCGUAAAGGGCGCGUAGGCGGCCUGUUAAGUCGGACGUGGAAUCCCUCGGCUCAACCGGGGAACUGCGUCUGAUACUGGCGGGCUUGAAUUCGGGAGAGGGAUGUGGAAUUCCAGGUGUAGCGGUGAAAUGCGUAGAUAUCUGGAGGAACACCGGUGGCGAAGGCGGCAUCCUGGACCGACAUUGACGCUGAGGCGCGAAAGCCAGGGGAGCAAACG
Molecule: ribosomal RNA, 252 nt
Filed under: uncultured prokaryote
Description: partial 16S ribosomal RNA
Rfam family: Bacterial small subunit ribosomal RNA
Source: RNAcentral